This 369-nucleotide long non-coding RNA is filed under the name Lepidothrix coronata (blue-crowned manakin). Its description in RNAcentral is "lncRNA (ENSLCOG00000005155.1)". Lineage: Eukaryota; Metazoa; Chordata; Aves; Passeriformes; Pipridae. The record is from RNAcentral.
GGGGAGCGAAGCCUGUCCGGCGGUGGCGGCGGGAGCAGAGUGCCGGAGGCAGGACCCAAGGGGGGCGGACGCGCCGGAGAAAAGCCCGGAGGGGAGAAAGUUCGGGUCGCUGCAGUAGUGGAAAUCUGUGAACGGAAUCCCGGAGUUUGGAGGCGGGGGGAGUAAGUCGGGAGUGCUGGGAGACGGGGAAAGAAGUCCAAAUGUAAAGUACAGAGUGACUCAUGAGAUGGUAAAAGCCCUCAGGUCCCUGUGGAACUCUUAACCAGAGUGCCUGCUGGAAACAGAGAGCAGAGAUGUACUGGAGAUGGUUGCUGAAGGGUUUUGGCAUCCUCAUUAUCACAAGUUCCCUGCUGGCAUUGGGAAUUACAC